UUGCCCUAGUAACGGCGAGUGAAGCGGCAACAGCUCAAAUUUGAAAUCUGGCUCUUUUAGGGUCCGAGUUGUAAUUUGCAGAGGGCGCUUUGGCGUUGGCAGCGGUCCAAGUUCUUUGGAACAGGACGUCACAGAGGGUGAGAAUCCCGUACGUGGUCGCUAGCCCUCGCCGUGUAAAGCCCCUUCGACGAGUCGAGUUGUUUGGGAAUGCAGCUCUAAAUGGGAGGUAAAUUUCUUCUAAAGCUAAAUACUGGCCAGAGACCGAUAGCGCACAAGUAGAGUGAUCGAAAGAUGAAAAGCACUUUGGAAAGAGAGUCAAAUAGCACGUGAAAUUGUUGAAAGGGAAGCGCUUGCAGCCAGACUUGCCUGUAGUUGCUUAUCCGGACUUUUGUCCGGUGCACUCUUCUGCGGGCAGGCCAGCAUCAGUCUAGGCGGUUGGAUAAAGGUCUCUGUCAUGUACCUCUCUUCGGGGAGGCCUUAUAGGGGAGACGACAUGCAACCAGCCUGGACUGAGGUCCGCGCAUCUGCUAGGAUGCUGGCGUAAUGGCUGUAAGCGGCCCGUCUUGAAACACGGACCAAGGAGUCUAACAUCUAUGCGAGUGUUUGGGUGUCAAGCCCAGACGCGUAAUGAAAGUGAACGGAGGUGGGAACCCUUUGGGUGCACCAUCGACCGAUCCUGAUGUCUUCGGAUGGAUUUGAGUAAGAGCAUGGCUGUUGGGACCCGAAAGAUGGUGAACUAUGCUUGAAUAGGGUGAAGCCAGAGGAAACUCUGGUGGAGGCUCGCAGCGGUUCUGACGUGCAAAUCGAUCGUCAAAUUU
This 818-nucleotide ribosomal RNA is filed under the name Brunneomurispora lonicerae. Its description in RNAcentral is "partial large subunit ribosomal RNA". It matches the Rfam family "Eukaryotic large subunit ribosomal RNA", at positions 75 to 912 of the family's 3401-position model. Lineage: Eukaryota; Fungi; Ascomycota; Dothideomycetes; Pleosporales; Phaeosphaeriaceae. The record is from RNAcentral.